UGAUAGCCCUGACAGAAACGAUAUCCUUUCAUUGCGAUUAAAAAUAAUUGUAUUUAGAUCGCUUCAUUCCUCGCAAUGAAAGAUAAAGUGAAUGGCAGGAUAACAA
RNAcentral lists this small RNA (106 nucleotides) under Nematostella vectensis (starlet sea anemone). Its description in RNAcentral is "Flavo-1 RNA". It matches the Rfam family "Flavo-1 RNA". Lineage: Eukaryota; Metazoa; Cnidaria; Anthozoa; Actiniaria; Edwardsiidae. The record is from Rfam by way of RNAcentral.